Molecule: non-coding RNA, 118 nt
Filed under: unclassified sequences
Description: Actinomyces-1 RNA
Rfam family: Actinomyces-1 RNA
Source: Rfam by way of RNAcentral
GCAGCCGCCGGACGGGGCGGGCCGCGAGGGUUGGGGAGCCCGAUGACCCGAUGACCGGUUCGCCGCCGAGAUGGGACCGGGUUUUAGGGAGCCCGGCCCGAUCGCUCUGGCGAAGAAG